CCUUUGUCUGGUUUGAUUUUUUUUAUUUCCUUCUGCGUCUGUUCUUUUUGUACAUGUAGAUGAUCUACCUAACAAUGUUUUAAUUAUUUCUUCCACAUGCUCUUGUAGUCGCCCGUAUGCUUGUCCAGUGCCGGACAAUGUGUUGCAUGAACAUGGGGAAACAGACUUGACGAAUGCAGCCAUAGGAUCGUCUACACUGGAAGUCAAGGCAAAAAAUGGCGCGAAAAAGAAACCAUGUAGAGGACAGGACCUCUGGUACGCAAGAGAUCAGUUCCUUCCUGUCUGGAGAUCAGUGCUAACAUGUCGGUUUAAUGUGAGGACCUUUUCCAUCAUAUGCACCAAACAAAGAGAGGCCAGUUACCCAAUAUGAUGGCGUCCAGAAGAAACUGACUGAUAGAAGGUCUUCCUCUAACGCUCGUCUUGGCAUGUUGGACUUGUUGGAGAAUAGGUCUCGGAAAUUAGCGAGUGGUCCAAAAUCAGCGAGUAGUCGCCGAUCCCGAAGGCUGUUUGGCACUGCUGCAUCGACAGUCCUGAAGAUGUUGAAGCGCGCAUGAUGAACGAGUAGGAUGGAAGGUAUAAUAGUUUACUAUGUAGCAUAUCGAACCGUCAGGCAGGGGUAGGAUUGAGCUAAACUAUAAAAAGCAUAUUGUGGAAAUGGAAUUUUGACUGCAGGUGCGUGCCCAGACGAACAAGCAACCAUCAUUCUCCCUGCAAUCAAUCAAUGCAAGAUGGUUCUGUUUUGCCCACGGCGAUGGGUGAGCGCUGGAUAGGUGUUUGGCCAUUGUGCAUGUCUACUGAAAGUAACUGUUGCUAUUUGGUUAACAAAUAGUAGUAUCUUCCCCUCAAACCAAGAAAAAAAACAAGUAGUAGUAUCUUCCUGAUUCCUGAAGAUGUAUUUUUCAGAGGCUGGACUUGGCUUGUGCCUUGGUUAUGUAUGAUCUUGCUAGAGUGCGGGCUGAUCCUGUGGAUAAUGACCCUCCUCUACGAUCACGAUUCCCUAUGCUCUACAGCAUUUGCAAUG
Triticum aestivum (bread wheat) is the source of this 1021-nucleotide long non-coding RNA. RefSeq lists it as uncharacterized. NCBI's taxonomy places the organism in Eukaryota, Viridiplantae, Streptophyta, Magnoliopsida, Poales, Poaceae. The record is from RefSeq and is a predicted model, not a curated record. The transcript has 3 exons.